AGAGUUUGAUCAUGGCUCAGAACGAACGCUGGCGGCAGGCUUAAUACAUGCAAGUGAACGCACCGCAAGGUGAGUGGCAGACGGGUGAGUAACGCGUGGGACCUUCCUAGUAGUCCUGGAAUAACUUCGGGAACCGAAGCUAAUCCGGAUAGCCCUUCGGGGGAAAGAUUUAUCGCUAUUAGAUGGGCCCGCGUCGGAUUAGCUAGUUGGUGGGUAAUGCCUACCAAGGCGCGAUCCGUAGCUGGUCUGAGAGGAUGAUCAGCCACACUGGGCUGAGACACGGCCCAGACUCCUACGGGAGGCAGCAGUAGGGAAUAUUGGACAAUGGGCGAAAGCCUGAUCCAGCCAUGCCGCGUGAGUGAAGAAGGCCUUAGGGUUGUAAAGCUCUUUUAGCGGGGAAGAUAAUGACGGUACCCGCAGAAUAAGCCCCGGCUAACUUCGUGCCAGCAGCCGCGGUAAUACGAAGGGGGCUAGCGUUGUUCGGAAUCACUGGGCGUAAAGCGCACGUAGGCGGCUGAUUAGUCAGGGGUGAAAUCCCGGGGCUCAACCUCGGAAUUGCCUUUGAUACUGUCAGUCUAGAGUCCGGGAGAGGUGAGUGGAAUUCCUAGUGUAGAGGUGAAAUUCGUAGAUAUUAGGAAGAACCCAGUGGCGAAGGCGGCUCACUGGCCCGGUACUGACGCUCAGGUGCGAAAGCGUGGGGAGCAAACAGGAUUAGAUACCCUAGUAGUCC
Molecule: ribosomal RNA, 730 nt
Filed under: uncultured bacterium
Lineage: Bacteria
Description: bacterial SSU rRNA
Rfam family: Bacterial small subunit ribosomal RNA
Source: RNAcentral